UCGGGGUGGGCCUCGUCCACCCCAGGUUGCUCUGCCACCAAGGAGUUGUUUAACUGCCUCAGUGACCUCGCCCCCAGAGGUUGGCGAGUCAUCCCCUUCGUCCCCAGACUCUGCUUCCUCCACAGAAAACGUGCCAGUGGGAUUGAGGAGGUCCUCGAAGUAUUCCUUCCACCGCCUGACAAUUUUCUCAGUCGAAGUCAGCAGCGCUCCACCCGCACUAUACACAGUGCUGGUAGAACACCGCUUUCUGCUUGUGAGACGCCUGACGGUUUGCCAGAAUCUCUUCGAGGCAGUCCGAAAGUCUUUUUCCAUGGCCUCUCCGAACUCCUCCCACACCCAAGUUUUUGCUUCAGCCACCGCCCGCGCCGCAUUCCACUUGGCCUACCCCAGCCAUGCACAAGUCAUCGGGAUCCUUGGCAGCAACAUCACCCUUCAAUUUACAUUCAACGUUAGCAUUACUGAAAACAGUCAAAUUGGAAUUUAUACAACAGACGAGAAAAAGAUUGAUGAUUUUAAAAGUGGGAAAAGUUCCUUUGAUAUUUACCCCCAAAAGAAUUCUGUAUUUUACCACAUCACAAAUCUCACUCUAAGCCACAGUAACACCUACUGGGCCAGUUUACUUGGUGUCAUCCCAAUAAAAAGUAAUGAAGUGCAGCUGUUCAUUGAAGAGAAGAAUACACACAGUACAGCCACUGAAACACCCGCUGAGCCUCCACAGUACAAUAGUAAUGCCAUCAUCACUGUUAUCCGUGUCUUCGCCUUCAUCACAUCUUUGGCCUUGGUUGUGGGAGUCUGCAAGAUCUACCAUCUGAAAUGCAUCAAGUCCAGAAACUAAACAGCCACAGAUGGUUAACAGAAGAAAGACGAGACUGAUGGAGCAGAUCCGUGUGUCGUAUACUUUCACACUGGCAUCAAGUUCAUAAAUAACAUAAUGAUUUAUCUGACACAUCUUAAAGAUCUUUUUUUUUCCCUUUUCAGUUUUUUUUUUAAAUGCUUUUUAUAAGCAGAAAAAAAUAAAUACUAGCUUCUAUUAAAUAAAAGCAAAAGUAAACAUGGAAGUGUUGCAGAGGGUCUAAAUACCUUUAGAUGAAAUGAUUUGUUAACAUUUUAUUUUUGGGCUUUUACAUUUGAAACUAUUCUGUAGAAAACCUUCAAUGCAGUGGAUGACAUCAGAG
Molecule: long non-coding RNA, 1175 nt
Organism: Oreochromis aureus
Lineage: Eukaryota; Metazoa; Chordata; Actinopteri; Cichliformes; Cichlidae
Source: Ensembl